CUCGGAAGUUAGUAACAUAUGCUAUCUGCACAACAGAGCUGUAUCAGCAUUUUUAAAAGGCUUCGUGGUCUUGUUGACAGUUACCUGUUUUAUAUUUCUGCUCUGCUGACGGCAGAAGCAGAAGGAACGUCGAGGAACCAAAUGAGACUGAAGACACAAGGAACCACAGGAGGAUUCAGCCUGAAGACUCUGCAGUGAGACGGCGCCCUGACCCUGAGAUUCAUCUCCAAGAGUUUUUCAAGCUUUACCCGCUUCUUCUUUUUAAUAAACCAAACAUUAUGCUUCCCAGUGG
Oreochromis aureus is the source of this 292-nucleotide long non-coding RNA. RefSeq lists it as uncharacterized. Lineage: Eukaryota; Metazoa; Chordata; Actinopteri; Cichliformes; Cichlidae. The transcript is spliced from 3 exons. The record is from RefSeq and is a predicted model, not a curated record.